CUGAGUGUUGAGUGUUUGUGGGACAGCAGAUUUCCACAAUGUCAAUCAGCGCCACGCAAUCAGUUUAUUCUAUUUAUCAGCCAAGCAGCUGACUGGCAAUCCGCUCCGGGCGUUCGACAAUGGCUCCGGCAAACACUGCGAAUCCUUUGUGUACAUAGCCAUCGUCCACACAUGCAUACAUGCAAGCGUGUCUGUGUGAGUGCCGUGCACAGUGGCGGUAAAAUUAAUGGCACUGUCAAAGGAUUUAAUUCAGAUUUUAAUCAAUUGAAUUGCCCAUUAAUUGUUUUCGCUUAAAUAUGCCUUUUGAUGUUGAAUAAUGAGUGCUACCUAUGAGUAAUUAUUAGUUUUAAAUAAGAUAUUUAAUGAAUCUCUUUAACAAAAUCCGUAUUUAACAUAAUUCCAAUUGAUAAGCUGCAUUUACCAACCAAAUAACUACAAAGAGCGAAAAAUCUUUUAAAAAAUUAAAUUAAUUGUUUGUCACGUUUAAUUAUUUGUUAUAUAGUUAGUACGUGGAAGCAGCUUGAAAUCAAACCAAUAAAUAGAUCUAUGCUCACUUUUUAGUAUACCUUUAUUAUAAGUUACUAUGUUCGUGUUAGAUGUUAUAGGUUUGUGACAACACAGGCGUUCCCUCAGCACAAAGUGUAAAUAAACAAAUUCUCAGCAACAGUCAAGUGGACCGGACUGGCAUCUGGGACUGACGAGUGCAGGACGUGCCACGGCCGGAGAAUACGGAAUCCAGAACCCGUUGGAUCGGAGAGGCGCCAUCACCUUGGCCACCUGAGUGGCGGGUAAUAAAAUGCGCAUUUGUGCACGAAAUUACGACAGUUUAGAGCUGUUGCUCCAGUUGGCAGCCGGAUUGACUGGGAUGCGGAGAACACGGCUCGGAUCGCAACGAACGUCCGUCGUAGAAGUUUCUUUAUGUUCUCGCCGGCGGCCGCAAAGGGCCAACAAGUUUUGGCCAAGCAAAGUUAUUUUCAAUAAGCUGCUGCUGGCUAAAACUGCGAAAAUCAACAGCACGGGAAAAGUUAGCAACUGUUUUUGCAGCUCCUGCCUAAGCGGCAUUCAUAUCCUUCAGCCAGGUUGGCACAACUUGAACUUACCUUAACCCAUUAAUUUGUUUCGAGUUUUCGAGGAACCAGCUGAAAAGUGUACAUAACUAACUAUAAUAAUAAAUAGCUUAGUAAAAAGCA
Molecule: long non-coding RNA, 1190 nt
Organism: Drosophila simulans
Lineage: Eukaryota; Metazoa; Arthropoda; Insecta; Diptera; Drosophilidae
Exons: 2
Source: RefSeq, a predicted model, not a curated record